AUAAUGAUUAUAUUAAUAUACAAUUCAAAUUUAAAUUAAUAAUUAGGCAAUUAACUAGUUUUCAACUGUUUAUCAAAAACAUAGUUUAAAGACCAAAAAUUUUAGAUAAAUUCUGCUCAAUGAUAAAUUUAAAUAGCUGCAGUAAAUUAACUGUACUAAGGUAGCAUAAUAAAUUGCUUUAUAAUUAAAAGCUUGAAUGAAAGAAACAAUGGAAAACAAACUUUUUAAACUAAAAAAGUAAAAAUUAAUAUUUAAGUGAAAAAUCUUAAAUUAAAUCAAAAGACAAGAAGACCCUUUAGAACUUUACAAGCCAUCUUAUCUUCAGUAAAUUGACUUGUUAAAUUGGGGAGAUUUUUAAAUAAAUAAAUCUUUAAAUAUAAUAAAAUGGAAUAUCUCAGAUUAAAUUAUCCAUUUAUGAAUUAAAAUAAGUUACCUAAGGGAUAACAGCGCAAAGUUUUUGAGAAGUUCUUAUUCACAAAAUAAAUUGCGACCUCGAUGUUGGAUUAAGAAUAACUUAUAAAGAAAAAUUUAUAAGAAUUGGUCUGUUCGCCCAAAUAGCUCUUACAUGAUCUGAGUUCAGACCGGCGUAAGCCAGGUCAGUUUAUAUCUUU
This 611-nucleotide ribosomal RNA is filed under the name Bemisia tabaci. RNAcentral's name for it is "large subunit ribosomal RNA". It matches the Rfam family "Bacterial large subunit ribosomal RNA", at positions 1741 to 2645 of the family's 2925-position model. The record is from RNAcentral. Lineage: Eukaryota; Metazoa; Arthropoda; Insecta; Hemiptera; Aleyrodidae.